UACGUAGGGGGCAAGCGUUGUCCGGAUUUAUUGGGCGUAAAGAGCGUGUAGGCGGCCUGACAAGUCUGCUGUGAAAACUCGAGGCUCAACCUCGAGAUGUCGGCGGAAACUGUCUGGCUGGAGUCCGGAAGAGGAGAGUGGAAUUCCUGGUGUAGCGGUGAAAUGCGCAGAUAUCAGGAAGAACACCUACGGCGAAGGCAGCUCUCUGGGACGGUACUGACGCUGAGACGCGAAAGCGUGGGGAGCGAACAGG
RNAcentral lists this ribosomal RNA (253 nucleotides) under uncultured bacterium. RNAcentral describes it as "partial 16S ribosomal RNA". It matches the Rfam family "Bacterial small subunit ribosomal RNA", at positions 524 to 776 of the family's 1533-position model. The record is from RNAcentral.